This 253-nucleotide ribosomal RNA is filed under the name uncultured bacterium. RNAcentral describes it as "partial 16S ribosomal RNA". It matches the Rfam family "Bacterial small subunit ribosomal RNA", at positions 524 to 776 of the family's 1533-position model. The record is from RNAcentral.
UACGUAGGGUGCGAGCGUUGUCCGGAAUUAUUGGGCGUAAAGAGCUCGUAGGCGGUUUGUCGCGUCUGCUGUGAAAACCUAAGGCUCAACCUUGGGCUUGCAGUGGGUACGGGCAGACUAGAGUGCGGUAGGGGUGACUGGAAUUCCUGGUGUAGCGGUGAAAUGCGCAGAUAUCAGGAGGAACACCGAUGGCGAAGGCAGGUCUCUGGGCCACUACUGACGCUGAGAAGCGAAAGCAUGGGGAGCGAACGGG